This 265-nucleotide ribosomal RNA is filed under the name uncultured bacterium. Its description in RNAcentral is "partial 16S ribosomal RNA". It matches the Rfam family "Bacterial small subunit ribosomal RNA", at positions 493 to 755 of the family's 1533-position model. The record is from RNAcentral.
ACGCUCGACAGUGCCAGCAGCCGCGGUAAUACAGAGGGUGCGAGCGUUAAUUCGGAUUUACUGGGCGUAAAAGCGUGCGUAGGCGGCUUUUUAAGUCGGAUGUGAAAUCCCCGAGCUUAACUUGGGAAUUGCAUUCGAUACUGGGAAGCUAGAGUAUGGGGAGAGGAUGGUAGAAUUCCAGGGUGUAGCGGUGAAAUGCGUAGAGAUCUGGAGGAAUACCGAUGGCGAAGGCAGCCAUCUGGCCUAAUACUGACGCUGAGGUACG